Non-coding RNA from Nicotiana tabacum (common tobacco), 2053 nucleotides. Lineage: Eukaryota; Viridiplantae; Streptophyta; Magnoliopsida; Solanales; Solanaceae. The record is from RefSeq and is a predicted model, not a curated record.
GAAGGUGUUAGGCAUUCCCGAGUUCUGUGGUUCUAGCACGGUCGCUUUGAUCAUACUUGGCUUACUAAAUUGUUUACUUACUCAUUUUGGAACCCAUGUGCUUUCACCUCUUAACCGCUUUUAAAUUAAGAAAAUUAUCUUGGAAACGGGUCACGCGUACGUGUACCCGUUUGGCGCGUCAAAAAUCAUGUCACGCGGACGUGUCCACAAUUAGUGACCCUUUAUUAUUAUGAAGAAAAGUUUGGCCAAAGUUGCGUGAACGCAUACUCUGGUUUGGUUUUUAGAAAUCGUAAUCACGUCACGCGAACGUGUACACAAUCACAAUUGUAUUUUCCUACAAAUAUUCAUUUUAGGAAACGUACUCUUACAAAAAAAAACAUGUUCAUAAGGCUAAUGUUGCCCUAUUAGUUCUAAGCUUCAAAUGUCCCCCCAAAAAACCAUUAUUGAAGUACUGCAAAUUAGAGAAUUCGAAUGCCAGGAAACGACACAUACUAUUGCAAAUUAACACAUGUGAUUCUAACAAAUUCUUAAUGAUGCCUUAAAAAUGAAGGCAAAUUUCAUCCAGAAGCAAUUUAUGCCAAAGUGCCACUCCUAGAGAUCCAGUACAUAUGUGAACAAUUCCCAAUCCAUCGUAUUGUCGUUUACACGAGUAGAUUAACCCUCUAAUUCAAGAAAAAUCCAAUUGAAAUACAAUGUAUUCAGUAUAAUUGAGGGGGAGGGACUUAUCAAUCCUUACUUCAUGGUAUUUUCACAAAAAAAGUGUCCAAAGGGGCUAAAAAUGAUCUAUAGUUGACAAUACAGUAUGAGUGGAUACAAAGUUAAUGAAGUCGAACACAUUUAACAAAAUCAUCAGCACUCAAGAACUUUGUUGAAGUAGAAUGAUGGGAAGGGGUUGUUUUUGGUUGAAGGCCUUCUUCGUUGUUUUAUCAUUUAGGCAGAUGAAUAACAGGGGAAUUUUAUCAAAUCAAAUGGUUUCAACGAUGCUUAAAGUCUGCUACUCUAGACCUCUCAACGCAACAUAUUUGCAUAAGCUCGAACCACCCUCAUAGACUCACAGAAAAAAAAAUAGGAAGAACAGACUUCUCCAAAUCAUUCAAAUCCAUCAAUAGCUCAAUUCGAAGAAGAAGAAGAAGGCAAGCAAAACAAUGUUGAACAGAAUUGCUCAACACAAUGCAGAACAGAAGAGGUUUAACAGCUUAACAAUCCUAGCAAAUGCCCUCAAAACACUGCAUGUUUCAGCCUAAUUCACUGCUCGAAUUAACUGCUUUUAGCAGCACUAAAGAACAGAGCUCUUAGAGAUGUAACAACGUAGAUAACUUCCAAGUAGGAGAAUGAGAAUAGAGCACAUCCAAACAAGUAGUGAAACAACUUAGUUUUAACACUAUUUUAAACCAAGAUUUGAUAAGAAUGGAUCAUCAAGCAGCGUACCACAUUCACACAUUCUGGUAAGCAACAGAGGAUCCUACUGCCUGUGUGAUUUAACAUAAAGAAGCCAAGACAAACUAACAUGGGCUAACUCACUGAGACAUAAACCAAUGUAGAUUAAUGUCAGAUUUUAAAAUCAAACAGAACAUGAUACUACAUGGAUCACUGAGAUUCAAUCCAGACAUUAUUGUUAUCCUAGGAAUACAAGAAGAAUUACCAGGACUGAAUUUUAGGAUUUAAAUAGCAUAUUUCCAGUACAGCAGUCUACAGAACUAUUAAUUAAACCCCUGAACUUUACGGCUCAAACAAGGUACAGCGGAAGGAACAUAGAAGGACUAGAUGAAACCUUAAGUCAAUAACUCCAUCACAUCCUUCCGGAUUUCAAAUGUUAAGCAGGAACAAGAAUUGGGUCAAACUUUCAUGUUUUAAUGUCAUAACAGAAGUAGGAAAAAGGAUACGACUCACGAAUAUACGAACAUUCCUUCGACAUGAGAGCAAUCCAUGAACAUAGACCAAUGAAUCAGAAUCACAGCACACUAUUAACACGAGCACGGAUUAUAUUUCAAUACUUGAAACCUUGGAUUUUCAUGAAUAAUCACAAAACUUCCCUUUUGUUUCCUCAGAAGAA